RNAcentral lists this ribosomal RNA (482 nucleotides) under uncultured bacterium. RNAcentral's name for it is "partial 16S ribosomal RNA". It matches the Rfam family "Bacterial small subunit ribosomal RNA", at positions 30 to 507 of the family's 1533-position model. The record is from RNAcentral.
AUUGAACGCUGGCGGCAUGCCUUACACAUGCAAGUCGAACGGUAACGGGCCUUCGGGUGCCGACGAGUGGCGACCGGGUGAGUAAUACAUCCGAACGUGCCCGAUCGUGGGGGAUAACGAGGCGAAAGCUUUGCUAAUACCGCAUACGAUCUACGGAUGAAAGCAGGGGACCGCAAGGCUUUGCGCGGACGGAGCGGCCGAUGGCAGAUUAGGUAGUUGGUGGGAUAAAAGCUUACCAAGCCGACGAUCUGUAGCUGGUCUGAGAGGAUGAUCAGCCACACUGGGACUGAGACACGGCCCAGACUCCUACGGGAGGCAGCAGUGGGGAAUUUUGGACAAUGGGCGCAAGCCUGAUCCAGCCAUGCCGCGUGCAGGAUGAAGGCCUUCGGGUUGUAAACUGCUUUUGUACGGAACGAAAAGCCUUCUUUUAAUACAGGAGGGUCAUGACGGUACCGUAAGAAUAAGCACCGGCUAACUACGUG